AGGUGAUAAGGAUCCACUGAGUCUUCCAUAUAAAGAUCAUAUUCCUGCUCCAAGUGGCCAUUACUGAGCUGAGAGAUGUCAUUGCCACAGGGAGGACCUAUAGGCACAUGUAGGUUGAAUGAAACUCUAGUUCUACCUGGAAGCCCAGACAAGGGAUGGGUCAGUGAGCAAGACUCUCUUCCUAGUCUCAGGCCAUACCUGUGGCACCCUGAUCCUAUUCUCAUGACAUUGGACCUGGGCAGAUGUGACAAAUUCAGAGAACUAUGAUUUUGACUCAAGGGUUUGUAGAUUUCCUUUUUCACUCUAAUUUCAGUGUCUAAAGUCCUCACAACCAUGAACAAUCUGAGUAUUUGAUGAGACAGGGCUAAAUAUUGCAGUUUUUCUCCUAGAAAUCAUUUGAGGGUAUUUGCUUUAAGUUGAUUGGAAAAAUAUGGCGUAACUGUUUGCACAAACUUGGGACAAAUGAUAUUGGGAUAACGAUCUACUAGAAUAGGGACAUUUUACCCACAGUUUCUGGGAGAAAAACCGAGGAAUUUCUAUCAUGACCAGCCUUCAGGCCUCCUGAAAUAUAUCUCUCACAGUGUCCUAUUCUUAUGCUGAGGAGCCUGAGGUCCCUGUGUGAGGAUUAGACAGUGGAUUGUUAUGUGUGUAGGGGAAUCAGCUUAAUGUGUCUG
Molecule: long non-coding RNA, 674 nt
Filed under: Homo sapiens (human)
Lineage: Eukaryota; Metazoa; Chordata; Mammalia; Primates; Hominidae
Description: LHRI_LNC636.1
Source: RNAcentral